Molecule: ribosomal RNA, 464 nt
Filed under: uncultured bacterium
Lineage: Bacteria
Description: partial 16S ribosomal RNA
Rfam family: Bacterial small subunit ribosomal RNA
Source: RNAcentral
GACGAACGCUGGCGGCGUGCUUAACACAUGCAAGUCGAACGGAAAGGCCCUGCUUGCCGGGUACUCGAGUGGCGAACGGGUGAGUAACACGUGGGUGAUCUGCCCUGCACUUCGGGAUAAGCCUGGGAAACUGGGUCUAAUACCGGAUAGGAGCCAUUUUUAGUGUGAUGGUUGGAAAGUUUUUUCGGUGUAGGAUGAGCUCGCGGCCUAUCAGCUUGUUGGUGGGGUAAUGGCCUACCAAGGCGGCGACGGGUAGCCGGCCUGAGAGGGUGGACGGCCACAUUGGGACUGAGAUGCGGCCCAGACUCCUACGGGAGGCAGCAGUGGGGAAUAUUGCACAAUGGGCGCAAGCCUGAUGCAGCGACGCCGCGUGGGGGAUGACGGCCUUCGGGUUGUAAACUCCUUUCGCUAGGGACGAAGCUUUUGUGACGGUACCUAGAUAAGAAGCACCGGCUAACUACGUG